Molecule: small nucleolar RNA, 127 nt
Organism: Camelus dromedarius (Arabian camel)
Lineage: Eukaryota; Metazoa; Chordata; Mammalia; Artiodactyla; Camelidae
Source: Ensembl
GUUAGCUGAAAAUCAUCUGCAGCUUUGGACUUGGCCGAGGGUGAGAUUUGAUACUCAGAGCCUCCAGGGGCCUUAGCUCACCACCCACUCCUCGGUGUGGGAAGGUGAAACCCAGGCCCUGACACAC